This is an RNA transcript of Quercus robur (English oak), 1232 nucleotides long. It is a transcript of the gene named ABC transporter I family member 17, with no coding region annotated. The record is from RefSeq and is a predicted model, not a curated record. NCBI's taxonomy places the organism in Eukaryota, Viridiplantae, Streptophyta, Magnoliopsida, Fagales, Fagaceae. The transcript has 5 exons.
AUAUUAACCAAGGAAGGCUUUUUCUUCUUACACUAAUAUCCAUAAAUAUAAGUAUAGGUCUCUGACAACAAAUUAUAAAAAAUAAAAAUAAUUUAUACGGUGCAUAUAAAAAAUACUCUAUAUCCAGAUUCUCCGGCCAUGUCUGUGGCUCUUACGACUCCUUCAAUAAGUACAGAGGCUCACGAGCACUUGCUGGUGGUGGAUGUGGAGGAUCCAAGCCCAGAUCAAGAAGAAACACAGCGGCCAUUAACGAAGUUUGGGAUACGUGAUCUGAGGAAGGAAUCUGAUGGGGGUGAUCCUAUAUUGAACGGGAUAAGCGUGGAGAUACCGAAGGGUGUGAUUGUUGGGAUCAUAGGGCCGAGUGGGAGUGGGAAAUCGACGAUGUUGAGAGCUCUGAAUAGGCUGUGGGAGCCACCUUUGGGGACUGUGUUUUUGGACGGUCGGGAUAUCUGUGAUCUUGAUGUGCUCACUCUGAGGAGGAAGGUUGGGAUGCUUUUUCAGCUUCCUGCUCUGUUUGAAGGCACAGUAGCAGACAACAUACGAUAUGGACCGCAAUUGAGAGGGCAGAAGCUAAGUGAUGAGGAGGUUUACAGCUUGCUCAAACUUGCAGACCUUGAUUCCUCUUUUUACAGUAAGACUGGUGGUGAACUAUCUGUUGGUCAAGCUCAAAGGGUUGCUCUUGCUAGGACCUUAGCUAAUGAACCAGAGGUUCUGCUGCUUGAUGAGCCUACAAGUGCCUUGGAUCCAAUAUCAACGGAAAACAUAGAGGAUGUCCUAGUGAACCUAAAGAAGAAACAGGGAAUGACUAUUAUAAUGGUCUCUCACAGCAUCAAACAAAUCCAGAGGAUUGCUGAUAUUGUGUGUCUCCUUGUGAAAGGUGAAAUUGUUGAAGUGUUAAGACCUGAUAAACUCUCAGAAGCCAAGCAUCCUAUGGCACUAAGGUUUCUUCAACUCAGCUCAUAAAUGCUUUUUUAUUGUGUGUUUGAGUGUGGGGUGCUCUUCAGUGAUAACCAGAGGAAAUGCCAUCUAUACAAAAAAUCAAUUAAUGUCUUGGCUUAGUGAUAAAAGGCAAUCAUCAUUAUGGAGUUGAUAUCAUAAGUUGAAAUUUUAUGAAGUGGAUGUCAUAGCUUAAUGAUAAAAAUUGUUGUUGUAUAUUUUUCUUUCUCCAUGUUGGUGUACACUGUAUUCCAAUGAAGUCUGGACCAUUAUCAAGAUAAUAUUUUGGGUGCUUA